This 1016-nucleotide long non-coding RNA is filed under the name Helianthus annuus (common sunflower). Its description in RNAcentral is "hypothetical non coding rna". Lineage: Eukaryota; Viridiplantae; Streptophyta; Magnoliopsida; Asterales; Asteraceae. The record is from RNAcentral.
CAUCUUCCUCAUAGUGAAACCCCCUCCUUUAAUUAUCUCACUGUUCAAUUGUACAACUCAAUCGUUCAACUUUCUGUCUUCUCUCAACCCCCUCUUUGUAUUCUAUCUUCUUUCUCUUAAUAAAUCAUCAGAAGGUUUCUUCAAUGCUUUGCAAGGAUUGUUGCUGUCGAGAUUCCAUUUACUCCCCGUGCCAAACGUGUACUGGAACUCUCGCUAGAGGAGUCCCGACAACUCGGUCAUAAUCAUAUUGGAUCCGAGCAUUUGCUUUCUUGGUUUGCUUAGAGAGGGUGAAGGUGUAGAGGCCCGUGUUCUUGAAAAUUUGGGUGCAGACCCAAAUAACAUUCGCACACAGGAAUUGCUUGCUCUUGAAGAAAGUAUAGGUUUGGUGCUCUGGUGCUCUGUGGCAUGUGUUAGUGGAGUUUAGAAGGCGAAUUCGUUCAUUUUAUCUGAUCAACCAAAGUUUACAACGUCUGAAGAUUGCAACUUCCUCGCAACUCCAACCCCGUGAGCAGCCCGCCUUCAUCGUCUAGGAUGUCAUAAGAUUCAAGGAAUUGGUGCUGGUGUUAUCCCUGAUGUUUUGGACGUCGGCAUUCUUGAUGAAGUUAUAAUGAUAACCGGUGAAGAGCCAAGGUGUCUCUAAAGGCUGUGCUCUGGAAUGCGCUAUUCUUAGUCCCACCUUUAAAGUUAGAGAGUUUCAGGCCUAUAUCUCUUGAGUAUGUGAUUUGUUUUAGCUAAUUAUGUUGAAAAGACGAUGGUAACAUGGCCUUAGUUGCAGGCAUGCAAGAAGAUAUUCCUGCAGUCUUCAGGCUUUUGAGUGUCAAGACAAACUUAAAAAUGGAUGAUUAGAUCAAAAUGUCCUUUUGAGAUUCAUAAGAUACUUUGUUAAUAAGUGUUUGGUUUGACUUUUGCUCUAGAUAGAUUUGUUAUUCUAUGAUAUCUCUUUCCAUUUUUAAUUAGAAAAAUUAACCAAAGUUACCAUGUUUUAACAUAACUUUGUUAUCAAUUAAUGUCAUUCG